GAUCAUGGCUCAGGAUGAACGCUAGCGGCAGGCUUAACACAUGCAAGUCGAGGGGCAGCGAGAUCAAAGCUUGCUUUGGUUGUCGGCGACCGGCGCACGGGUGCGUAACGCGUAUGCAACCUACCCACUACAGGGGGAGUAACACUGAGAAAUCGGUACUAAUACCCCACUAAUAUCUUGGUAAGGGCGAUCUUCCGUAGGUUGUAAACUACCGGUCGGUAGUGGAGUGGGCGAUGCGUUGUAUUAGU
RNAcentral lists this ribosomal RNA (248 nucleotides) under uncultured bacterium. RNAcentral's name for it is "partial 16S ribosomal RNA". It matches the Rfam family "Bacterial small subunit ribosomal RNA", at positions 15 to 245 of the family's 1533-position model. The record is from RNAcentral.